This 519-nucleotide ribosomal RNA is filed under the name Orophus sp. MCJ-2002. Its description in RNAcentral is "partial 16S ribosomal RNA". It matches the Rfam family "Bacterial large subunit ribosomal RNA", at positions 1868 to 2606 of the family's 2925-position model. Lineage: Eukaryota; Metazoa; Arthropoda; Insecta; Orthoptera; Tettigoniidae. The record is from RNAcentral.
GAAAUUAAAUAUUAAGGAUUAGGGCCUUGCCCCCAUUGCACUGAAUAUUUUUAAGGGCCGCGGUAUUAUGACCGUGCAAAGGUAGCAUAAUCAUUAGUUUUUUAAUUGAGGGCUAGAAUGAAGGGUUUGACGAAGUAAUAACUGUCUCAUUAUAAAUUUUUGAAUUUUACAUUUGAGUUAAAAGGCUUAAAUGAUAAUAUAGGACGAGAAGACCCUAUAGAGCUUUAUAAGUAUAUAAAUUAUUAUGAUUUGGAGGUAUUUAUUUAUAAUAGAAUUGCUUAUUUUGUUGGGGUGACAAAAGGAUAAAAUUAACUCCUUUAUUUUAUAACAUUGAUUUAUGAUUUAUAGAUCCAUUUUUAUGAAAAGAAGAUUAAGUUACCUUAGGGAUAACAGCGUAAUUUUGUUUGAGAGUUCAUAUCGACAAUGAAGUUUGCGACCUCGAUGUUGGAUUAAGGAUAUAAAUAAAUGUAGUAGUUUAAUUUAUGGGUCUGUCGACUCCUUAAAUCCUUACCUGAAUCU